CUCCUGACUUCACCAUCGAAUCAUCUGUGAAGCUCAACCCACAAAACACAUAAUAAAAAGAGGUUCAAGAGCUAGGGCACUGACACAUGUGCCCUUUAGAAGGCAACAUGUGGGGUGCUUGGGGAGCUCUGAACUCUCCUUUCAUGUAUUAUAUAGAUGUAAAAUAUUGUGAGAAUAAGCAAUGAUUUGUUUUUUGCAUGCUUGUAAAAAAUGAACCUUAUAGAAAUACUACAUGCAUGGCCAAAAAAUGAGCAUUGCUCUUGGUAUGCCGCUACACAUACAUGUGUACUUUACAACCUUGCCU
RNAcentral lists this long non-coding RNA (304 nucleotides) under Elaeis guineensis (African oil palm). RNAcentral describes it as "long non-coding RNA (EGUI_LNC015654)". Lineage: Eukaryota; Viridiplantae; Streptophyta; Magnoliopsida; Arecales; Arecaceae. The record is from RNAcentral.